GAUGAAGAACGCAGCGAAAUGCGAUAAGUAAUGUGAAUUGCAGAAUUCAGUGAAUCAUCGAAUCUUUGAACGCACAUUGCGCCCCCUGGUAUUCCGGGGGGCAUGCCUGUCCGAGCGUCAUUACAACCCUCAAGCUCAGCUUGGUAUUGGGCCCCGCCGACCCGGCGGGCCCUAAAGUCAGUGGCGGUGCCGUCCGGCUCCGAGCGUAGUAAUUCUUCUCGCUCUGGAGGUCCGGUCGUGUGCUCGCCAGCACCCCCCAAUUUUUUUCAGGUUGACCUCGGAUCAGGUAGGGAUACCCGCUGAACUUAAGCAUAUCAAUAAGCGGAGGA
This 329-nucleotide unclassified non-coding RNA is filed under the name soil metagenome. RNAcentral's name for it is "partial contains 5.8S ribosomal RNA, internal transcribed spacer 2, and large subunit ribosomal RNA". The stretch from base 1 to 120 matches the Rfam family "5.8S ribosomal RNA", at positions 35 to 154 of the family's 154-position model. The record is from RNAcentral.